UGAAGAGUUUGAUCAUGGCUCAGAUUGAACGCUGGCGGCAGGCCUAACACAUGCAAGUCGAACGGUAACAGGAAGCAGCUUGCUGCUUCGCUGACGAGUGGCGGACGGGUGAGUAAUGUCUGGGAAACUGCCUGAUGGAGGGGGAUAACUACUGGAAACGGUGGCUAAUACCGCAUAACGUCGCAAGACCAAAGAGGGGGACCUUCGGGCCUCUUGCCAUCAGAUGUGCCCAGAUGGGAUUAGCUAGUUGGUGAGGUAACGGCUCACCAAGGCGACGAUCCCUAGCUGGUCUGAGAGGAUGACCAGCCACACUGGAACUGAGACACGGUCCAGACUCCUACGGGAGGCAGCAGUGGGGAAUAUUGCACAAUGGGCGCAAGCCUGAUGCAGCCAUGCCGCGUGUAUGAAGAAGGCCUUCGGGUUGUAAAGUACUUUCAGCGGGGAGGAAGGUGUUGUGGUUAAUAACCGCAGCAAUUGACGUUACCCGCAGAAGAAGCACCGGCUAACUCCGUGCCAGCAGCCGCGGUAAUACGGAGGGUGCAAGCGUUAAUCGGAAUUACUGGGCGUAAAGCGCACGCAGGCGGUCUGUCAAGUCGGAUGUGAAAUCCCCGGGCUCAACCUGGGAACUGCAUUCGAAACUGGCAGGCUUGAGUCUUGUAGAGGGGGGUAGAAUUCCAGGUGUAGCGGUGAAAUGCGUAGAGAUCUGGAGGAAUACCGGUGGCGAAGGCGGCCCCCUGGACAAAGACUGACGCUCAGGUGCGAAAGCGUGGGGAGCAAACAGGAUUAGAUACCCUGGUAGUCCACGCCGUAAACGAUGUCUACUUGGAGGUUGUGCCCUUGAGGCGUGGCUUCCGGAGCUAACGCGUUAAGUAGACCGCCUGGGGAGUACGGCCGCAAGGUUAAAACUCAAAUGAAUUGACGGGGGCCCGCACAAGCGGUGGAGCAUGUGGUUUAAUUCGAUGCAACGCGAAGAACCUUACCUGGUCUUGACAUCCACGGAAGUUUUCAGAGAUGAGAAUGUGCCUUCGGGAACCGUGAGACAGGUGCUGCAUGGCUGUCGUCAGCUCGUGUUGUGAAAUGUUGGGUUAAGUCCCGCAACGAGCGCAACCCUUAUCCUUUGUUGCCAGCGAUUAGGUCGGGAACUCAAAGGAGACUGCCAGUGAUAAACUGGAGGAAGGUGGGGAU
Molecule: ribosomal RNA, 1185 nt
Filed under: Salmonella enterica
Lineage: Bacteria; Pseudomonadati; Pseudomonadota; Gammaproteobacteria; Enterobacterales; Enterobacteriaceae
Description: bacterial SSU rRNA
Rfam family: Bacterial small subunit ribosomal RNA
Source: RNAcentral